AUUGAACGCUGGCGGAAUGCUUUACACAUGCAAGUCGAACGGCAGCACGGGGGCAACCCUGGUGGCGAGUGGCGAACGGGUGAGUAAUACAUCGGAACGUGCCCAGUCGUGGGGGAUAACGUAGCGAAAGUUACGCUAAUACCGCAUACGAUCUACGGAUGAAAGCGGGGGACCGUAAGGCCUCGCGCGAUUGGAGCGGCCGAUGUCAGAUUAGGUAGUUGGUGAGGUAAAGGCUCACCAAGCCGACGAUCUGUAGCUGGUCUGAGAGGACGACCAGCCACACUGGGACUGGGCCACGGCCCAGACUCCUACGGGAGGCAGCAGUGGGGAAUUUUGGACAAUGGGCGCAGGUCUGAUCCAGCCAUUCCGCGUGCAGGAUGAAGGCCCUCGGGUUGUAAACUGCUUUUGUACGGAACGAAAAGGUCUCCAUUAAUACUGGGGGCUCAUGACGGUACCGUAAGAAUAAGCACCGGCUAACUACGUGCCAGCCGCCGCCGUAA
RNAcentral lists this ribosomal RNA (500 nucleotides) under uncultured bacterium. Its description in RNAcentral is "partial 16S ribosomal RNA". It matches the Rfam family "Bacterial small subunit ribosomal RNA", at positions 30 to 523 of the family's 1533-position model. The record is from RNAcentral.